GAUCAUGGCUCAGGAUGAACGCUAGCUACAGGCUUAACACAUGCAAGUCGAGGGGCAUCAGGAAGAAAGCUUGCUUUCUUUGCCGGCGACCGGCGCACGGGUGAGUAACACGUAUCCAACCUGCCGAUGACUCGGGGAUAGCCUUUCGAAAGAAAGAUUAAUACCCGAUGGCAUAUCUGAAAGGCAUCUUUCAGCUAUUAAAGAAUUUCGGUCAUUGAUGGGGAUGCGUUCCAUUAGGG
Molecule: ribosomal RNA, 239 nt
Filed under: uncultured bacterium
Lineage: Bacteria
Description: partial 16S ribosomal RNA
Rfam family: Bacterial small subunit ribosomal RNA
Source: RNAcentral